ACGCAGCGCGGCGGGGCCGCCUCGCCUCGGCCGGGGGGCAACAGGAUCACCGGACGGGCCAGGCUGGGAGGGACCACACCGGGUCAGCUGGUCCAGCCUCCCUGCCCCUCUCGAGUGAGGGAGACUCCACAGCCUCUCUGGGCAAUGUGUUUUAGUGCUCGAUCACCUCGACAGUAAAGUUGUUCGUAUUCAGGUGGAACUUCCCUUCCUGUACAUCGGUUUCUGCCCAUUGACUCUUGUCCUAUUACUUGGCACCACGGAGAAGAGGCUGCUCCAUCUUCUUGACAUCCAUCCUUUAGAGAUUUGGAAGAACCUUGAAAACUGCUUUUCCUGCUCUCUAGAGUAGAUUGCCGCCACCCCCUCCAUUUUUGCCGAGGUGGAGGGGCAGAAUCAAGUCUUCCAACAAUAAAUUACUUUCAAAGCACACUGUGGUCUGUCAUCAAAAAUGCAUGACUACACUGAACACCACCAGUAAGUUCAACAGCAAAAAGGAUGAAAAUAAUUUCAAAUAAUGUAAGAUAGGAUGUGAACGGACAGAUGUGAUGCUGAUUUAACCUUGUGCAUAACUCCACAGCUCUUUCAGGAGACCAGAGUGUUUUACUGUGAAAUGACAUCUAAUCUUGAAUUGUUUAUUCAGAAGUUCAACUAUUUAGUCAAUAGUUCUGCUCUGAGACAACACAGUCACAUUAAACUGGUACAAAGUGAACUCAGUCAAGUCUUUAACUGACCAGUACCCUGUGGUGUCCAAUGAAAUAGAUUUUUAGUUUGAUGACAUACUUCUCAGGUUAGGAACUUUUUUUAUUCGUAACUCAUCACAGCAUUCUUCACUACUCAAGACUGCCCAGCCUAGUUUAGAAAGUAUUCCUAACAGGUCACUUGCUGCAAAACUGAUUCUAAGUUCACUUUCUGUAUCUUUCAUAAUUAAUAGUGCUCUUGAACACAGAAAAGUAAAAAUUGACAGACCU
Long non-coding RNA from Haemorhous mexicanus (house finch), 965 nucleotides. RefSeq lists it as uncharacterized. The transcript has 3 exons. Lineage: Eukaryota; Metazoa; Chordata; Aves; Passeriformes; Fringillidae. The record is from RefSeq and is a predicted model, not a curated record.